UUCAAAAUCCCGCUCACUCCCAAAAAAAAAAUUUUUGGUUACCCGCUCGUUACUCCCUCUUCUCGUCAUCUCCAUCGCGCGCCCUAAAUACCCCAAAUUUUGUACUUAAUUCUUUUUCCCUUUUAAUCUCAAAAUUCCAUGAGUUCCUUUACCCCAACAUCUCGACAAAUGGGUUUUCCGAUCUAUACCAAAAGACCACAGGGAUUGAUCUAUGGAAUUCCCAUUAUGAGAGAAUGAAAGAAAAUUACAGGAGGUUGAAGGAGAUAAACAAGAAGCUGAGAAGGGAGAUUAGGUUGAGCUAGAAAAACAUUCAAGGGGACUUUUAAUGCCUGUUUGAGGAGCUGUUACCUUUCCGGUGCCUUUUUGGUCUGACUUUAAAAAGAAAAGAACCGAUAUCUUUGAGACAUUUUUCUUGUUUUUACUGAUGUGAUGCGGUAAAAGCUGCAAUGCGUGUUAUUGAGGCUUCUGUAAGGAUAUACUAUUCUGAAGUCUGUCUCAAAGCUGUUCAACAAACAAACCUUCUGCGUUUCUGUAUUAUGUUUUUCUUCCAAGCUGACAGCCUGGUCAAUGUUACUUAUCUGCUAUAUAAUUGUGCAUUUGCCUGUGCUAUUUGAUAGUUAAAUGGUGCAGUAUUUCAUACUACCUGCGCAGUUGUUUUGUUUUGUUUUUACAUAUAUCAUGGUUCUGUUAUGGAAUGUAUGUCUUUUGUAGUGGGUAGCGUUUCCAUAAAAAAUCAUGUUUACGCUGUUAAAGGAGUUGUGAAAUGGUCUGAAUGUAGUUUAGUUGCUAAUCUAAUAUAUUUCUUCAUAGGCUUGCUGAGAACAUCCAAGAUGCUUAUGGUGAGGCAGCUAGCAUUGCUGAAUAGUUGCAUUGUUUAACACCAAAACCCAUAUUUUACGGGUUUUUCAAAGAAGAAAAAUGCUCAGAAUAGAUGGUCUCUGCAAAAAGAUGGGCUACAAGGAUGCCAAGUUACUGAUGCUUUACGGGCUCUGAUAGCCAAUGGCGUUGAGGCGGGAACUAUCCAGUGUGGGCGUCCAAAGGAACAGAAGUUCUGGAUCUCGUUUGCGUAUCGUGAUUCUUUUUUUCUUCUCAAUUCUGACGCUCAUUGCUUUGAGUUCAUUACAAUUCUGCUGCUUUCAGUUUCACGCUCAUUGCUUUGAGUUCAUUACAAGAUUUCCUUGAUUAAAUAAAUGUAUUAUAUAUUUUAUUACCAAGAUUUACUUGAUUAAGAAAAUGCAUUGUAUGUUUUAUUA
Gossypium raimondii (Peruvian cotton) is the source of this 1253-nucleotide long non-coding RNA. RefSeq lists it as uncharacterized. The record is from RefSeq and is a predicted model, not a curated record. The transcript is spliced from 6 exons. NCBI's taxonomy places the organism in Eukaryota, Viridiplantae, Streptophyta, Magnoliopsida, Malvales, Malvaceae.